UACGAGAGGCCCAAGCGUUAUUCGGAUUUACUGGGCUUAAAGAGUCCGUAGGCGGCGCAGCAAGUCGGGUGUGAAAGCCCUCGGCUUAACCGAGGAAUUGCGCCCUAAACUACUGUGCUCGAGGAACCUAGAGGUGAGCGGAACUGAUGGUGGAGCGGUGAAAUGCGUUGAUAUCAUCAGGAACACCGGAGGCGAAGGCGGCUCACUGGGGGUUUUCUGACGCUGAGGGACGAAAGCCAGGGGAGCGAACGGG
This 253-nucleotide ribosomal RNA is filed under the name uncultured bacterium. RNAcentral's name for it is "partial 16S ribosomal RNA". It matches the Rfam family "Bacterial small subunit ribosomal RNA", at positions 524 to 776 of the family's 1533-position model. The record is from RNAcentral.